This 388-nucleotide ribosomal RNA is filed under the name Sulfitobacter sp. Asnod3B03. RNAcentral describes it as "bacterial SSU rRNA". It matches the Rfam family "Bacterial small subunit ribosomal RNA", at positions 388 to 793 of the family's 1533-position model. The record is from RNAcentral. Lineage: Bacteria; Pseudomonadati; Pseudomonadota; Alphaproteobacteria; Rhodobacterales; Roseobacteraceae.
CUAGCCAUGCCGCGUGUGUGAUGAAGGCCUUAGGGUCGUAAAGCACUUUCGCCAGAGAUGAUAAUGACAGUAUCUGGUAAAGAAACCCCGGCUAACUCCGUGCCAGCAGCCGCGGUAAUACGGAGGGGGUUAGCGUUGUUCGGAAUUACUGGGCGUAAAGCGUACGUAGGCGGAUCAGAAAGUAGGGGGUGAAAUCCCAGGGCUCAACCCUGGAACUGCCUCCUAAACUCCUGGUCUUGAGUUCGAGAGAGGUGAGUGGAAUUCCAAGUGUAGAGGUGAAAUUCGUAGAUAUUUGGAGGAACACCAGUGGCGAAGGCGGCUCACUGGCUCGAUACUGACGCUGAGGUACGAAAGUGUGGGGAGCAAACAGGAUUAGAUACCCUGGUAG